Molecule: non-coding RNA, 286 nt
Organism: Microcebus murinus (gray mouse lemur)
Lineage: Eukaryota; Metazoa; Chordata; Mammalia; Primates; Cheirogaleidae
Source: RefSeq, a predicted model, not a curated record
AAAAAAUGAGGAUUAAAAAUCCUUGUGAGGAUUAAGUUGCCAUGAGGACCACGGAGGUAAUUUAGAUCUCUAAGUGCUUGGCAAAGACGUUUGUAUCCUUCUGCAUAAGAAUCUCUGUGUCCCCGCUGAAAAGAAAACUAUACAGGAACACAGAACGGCCCAAGAACCUGCAGGUGAUGGAGGGUUGUCACCUCGGGAAAGUUUCCAAGUUGCUGUUUGCACACCUGUAUCACAGAGAAAAUACGAUGGCCCUUUCCUGUUUUCUAGAGGAAUUGUGAUUAUCAAA